Molecule: ribosomal RNA, 253 nt
Filed under: uncultured bacterium
Lineage: Bacteria
Description: partial 16S ribosomal RNA
Rfam family: Bacterial small subunit ribosomal RNA
Source: RNAcentral
GACAGAGGAGCCAAGCGUUGUCCGGACUGACUGGGCGUAAAGCGCACGCAGGCGGUGCGGGAAGUGGUGUGUGAAAGCGGCCGGCUCAACCGGCUGAGGCCAUGCCAGACUGCCGCGCUCGAGCACUGCAGAGGGUGGUGGAAUUGCCGGUGUAGUGGUGAAAUGCGUAGAGAUCGGCAGGAACACCAAGGGGGAAGCCAGCCACCUGGGCAGUCGCUGACGCUGAAGUGCGAAAGCGUGGGGAGCGAACUGG